Molecule: ribosomal RNA, 506 nt
Filed under: Streptomyces albidoflavus
Lineage: Bacteria; Bacillati; Actinomycetota; Actinomycetes; Kitasatosporales; Streptomycetaceae
Description: bacterial SSU rRNA
Rfam family: Bacterial small subunit ribosomal RNA
Source: RNAcentral
ACGAUGAACCGCUUUCGAGGCGGGGAUUAGUGGCGAACGGGUGAGUAACACGUGGGCAAUCUGCCCUGCACUCUGGGACAAGCCCUGGAAACGGGGUCUAAUACCGGAUAUGACUGUCCAUCGCAUGGUGGAUGGUGUAAAGCUCCGGCGGUGCAGGAUGAGCCCGCGGCCUAUCAGCUUGUUGGUGAGGUAGUGGCUCACCAAGGCGACGACGGGUAGCCGGCCUGAGAGGGCGACCGGCCACACUGGGACUGAGACACGGCCCAGACUCCUACGGGAGGCAGCAGUGGGGAAUAUUGCACAAUGGGCGAAAGCCUGAUGCAGCGACGCCGCGUGAGGGAUGACGGCCUUCGGGUUGUAAACCUCUUUCAGCAGGGAAGAAGCGAAAGUGACGGUACCUGCAGAAAAGCGCCGGCUAACUACGUGCCAGCAGCCGCGGUAAUACGUAGGGCGCAGCGUUGUCCGGAAUUAUUGGGCGUAAAGAGCUCUAGGCGGCUUGUCACGUC